RNAcentral lists this ribosomal RNA (400 nucleotides) under uncultured bacterium. RNAcentral describes it as "bacterial SSU rRNA". It matches the Rfam family "Bacterial small subunit ribosomal RNA", at positions 358 to 775 of the family's 1533-position model. The record is from RNAcentral.
GGAAUAUUAGUAAUGGGCGAAAGCCUGAACUAGCAACGCCGCGUGUGCGAAGAAGGCCUUCGGGUUGUAAAGCACUUUUUGAGAGGAUGAGGAAGGACGGUACUCUCAGAAUAAGUCUCGGCUAACUACGUGCCAGCAGCCGCGGUAACACGUAGGAGGCAAACGUUAUCCGGAUUUACUGGGCGUAAAGCGCGUGUAGGUGGUUUGGUAAGUAGGGCGUGAAAGCUCCUGGCUCAACUGGGAGAGGACGUUCUAAACUGCCAAGCUUGAGGAUGGUAGAGGGAGGUGGAAUUCCGGGUGUAGCGGUGGAAUGCGCAGAUAUCCGGAGGAACACCAGUGGCGAAGGCGGCCUCCUGGACCACUCCUGACACUCAGACGCGAAAGCUAGGGUAGCAAACGG